RNAcentral lists this long non-coding RNA (205 nucleotides) under Capsicum annuum. RNAcentral describes it as "long non-coding RNA (CANN_LNC012688)". The record is from RNAcentral. Lineage: Eukaryota; Viridiplantae; Streptophyta; Magnoliopsida; Solanales; Solanaceae.
UAAUUGCUUAUCCUUUUCCCUUCAAGGGUCAUGGAUAGACGUUACUCUCGUUCCAGCAGAAGACGUGCUUAAUUUCAUGUCAUGGGCACGAGUAGCUAACUCUUCAAAGGAUUUUGUCUUAAUGCAUUGAAAGAUAUAGAGAAGCUCUCAAUGCAUUCCUUAGAUGCACAUCUCUACUGCAAAAGUUUUGUUGAGCCUGUUUUUG